RNAcentral lists this unclassified non-coding RNA (258 nucleotides) under fungal sp. RNAcentral describes it as "partial internal transcribed spacer region". The stretch from base 1 to 46 matches the Rfam family "Eukaryotic small subunit ribosomal RNA", at positions 1786 to 1831 of the family's 1831-position model. The record is from RNAcentral. Lineage: Eukaryota; Fungi.
AAGUCGUAACAAGGUUUCCGUAGGUGAACCUGCGGAAGGAUCAUUACCGAACAACCAAAUCCUCUGUGCCUCCUUGUAGCAGGCAGGAUCGGGGUUCCAAGGGGUUGCCUUCCAGCACCCCUUGGUCUCCAUGCUGCCACUACGUCCUCCUAUUUUACCAAACAAAACCCGUCUGUCGCAUGUUUGUGGCAUCCCCUUGUCGGGCUUGCCCUUUAAACAUAUCAAACAUAACUUUCAACAACGGAUCUCUUGGCUCUC